UACGUAGGGUGCGAGCGUUAAUCGGAAUUACUGGGCGUAAAGCGUGCGCAGGCGGUUUUGUAAGCCAGAUGUGAAAUUCCCGGGCUUAACCUGGGAAUGGCAUUUGGGACUGCAAGGCUGGAGUUUGGCAGAGGAGACUGGAAUUCCCGGUGUAGCAGUGAAAUGCGUAGAGAUCCGGAGGAACACCAGAGGCGAAGGCGGCCUACUGGCUCGCACCUGACGCUGAGCCGCGAAAGCCAGGGGAGCGAACGGG
This 253-nucleotide ribosomal RNA is filed under the name uncultured bacterium. RNAcentral describes it as "partial 16S ribosomal RNA". It matches the Rfam family "Bacterial small subunit ribosomal RNA", at positions 524 to 776 of the family's 1533-position model. The record is from RNAcentral.